AUGCUCACUUUGGCAGCACAUAUUCUAAAAUCGGAACGGUAAAGAGAUUAGCACGGCCCCUCUGCAAGGCUGACAUGAAAAUUUGUGAAACAUUCCCCCCAAAA
RNAcentral lists this small nuclear RNA (104 nucleotides) under Neotoma lepida (desert woodrat). The record is from RNAcentral. Lineage: Eukaryota; Metazoa; Chordata; Mammalia; Rodentia; Cricetidae.